CUUGAUCAUGGUUCUCUUUGUACGAUAGUUGGGCAUCUGUAUUUCCACUUGUGUGAAUUUGCCUUUAAAUUUUGGUUAUGGGUUUCACCUUUUAAAAUAAUCAAACAUAUUUAUCUUUUCCUGUGUGAUAGGUUUUUUUCUGUAUCUUUUCCUGUUAAACACACAGACCCCUCCCCAAUCUGGACAUUGAAUAAAUAUUCAUUUUCCUUUGCAUUGUUUGGGGUUUGGUUU
This 231-nucleotide long non-coding RNA is filed under the name Homo sapiens (human). RNAcentral's name for it is "non-protein coding lnc-HSFX3-1:1". Lineage: Eukaryota; Metazoa; Chordata; Mammalia; Primates; Hominidae. The record is from RNAcentral.